UUUAGAGGAAGUAAAAGUCGUAACAAGGUUUCCGUAGGUGAACCUGCGGAAGGAUCAUUACAAAUCUUCUUAUCGGGAAGUGGAAGGGAUGAGCUUUAGCUCGUCACUUUUAUUUGUCUGAUAACAUUAGCACGAGUGUGUGAUGUUGGAUUGCAAUGCAGUCUUUCAUCACAUCUCAUGUUUACGCUUGUUUGUUUGACAGAGUUCAAUUGACUUUAAUAAAUACAACUUUUAACAACGGAUCUCUAGGCUCUUGCAACGAUGAAGAACGCAGUAAAGUGCGAAAAGUAAUGCGAUUUGCAUGAACUGUGAGUCAUUUAAUAUUUGAACGCAACUUGCGCCCCUCGGGGCAUGUUUGUUUGAGUGCCUAAAAAAAAGAAAUGCUAGCAAUAGUGUUUGAUGUGACUGCUGUCUAAAGUGAGCAUUGAUAGGUGUAACAAUCUACAAUCUACAAGGUCAUUCAAGACACGGUUUAAAAAGAGUUAGAAAAUGAAUGUAUUUCUGUUUAUCAAGUGCUAAGCAUUCUCGAUGGACAGGGAUGCAGUCAAUUGGAAGAUGGAAUGGACUAACGUGGACUAAUAAUCCAUCAACUCCUACUCGUCAACCAAAUCUCACUAUACAUGGC
RNAcentral lists this ribosomal RNA (625 nucleotides) under uncultured fungus. RNAcentral's name for it is "eukaryotic LSU rRNA". The stretch from base 227 to 369 matches the Rfam family "5.8S ribosomal RNA". The record is from RNAcentral. Lineage: Eukaryota; Fungi.